This 626-nucleotide ribosomal RNA is filed under the name uncultured bacterium. RNAcentral's name for it is "bacterial SSU rRNA". It matches the Rfam family "Bacterial small subunit ribosomal RNA", at positions 62 to 691 of the family's 1533-position model. The record is from RNAcentral.
UCGAGGGGCAGCAGGGUAUUUAUACCGCUGGCGACCGGCGCACGGGUGAGUAACACGUAAGAAUCUGCCUGAUGGACUGGGAUAGCUAUUAGAAAUAGUAGGUAAUACCGGAUAAGCCCGAGAGGGGAAAGCUAUGUAUGUAGUACCAUUAGAUGAGCUUGCGUACCAUUAGCUAGUUGGUAAGGUAAUAGCUUACCAAGGCAACGAUGGUUAGCCGGCCUGAGAGGGUGAACGGCCACAAUGGAACUGAGACACGGUCCAUACUCCUACGGGAGGCAGCAGCUAAGAAUCUUCCACAAUGGGCGAGAGCCUGAUGGAGCGAUGCCGCGUGAACGAUGAAGGCAGAAAUGUUGUAAAGUUCUUUUAUAAGGGAAGAAUAACGGUAGGAGGUAAUGCCUAUCAGAUGACGGUACCUUAUGAAUAAGCUUCGGCUAACUACGUGCCAGCAGCCGCGGUAAUACGUAGGAAGCAAGCGUUGUUCGGAAUUAUUGGGCGUAAAGGGCAUGUAGGUGGUGUCAUAAGUGUGGAUUGAAAUACCGGAGCUUAACUCCGAGUCUGGUCUGCNAACUGUGACACUAGAGNAUAGAAGGGGAGACUGGAAUUCCGCGUGUAGGGGUGAAAUCUGU